AGCGAACGUUUGCGGCGGGCUUAACACAUGCAAGUCGAACGGGCUGUUCCUUCGGGGGCAGUCAGUGGCGCACGGGUGCGUAACACGUAGGUAAUCAACCCUCUGGUUGGGGAUAACACUUCGAAAGGAGUGCUAAUACCCGGUAUGGCGCAGCGGUCUUCGGAUCGCGGCGAGAAAGACCCGCAAGGGUUGCCAGAGGACGAGCCUGCGGCCCAUCAGCUAGUUGGCGAGGUAACGGCUCACCAAGGCGAAGACGGGUAGCUGGUCUGAGAGGAUGAUCAGCCACACUGGAACUGAGACACGGCCCAGACUCCUACGGGAGGCAGCAGUGGGGAAUAUUGGACAAUGGGGGAAACCCUGAUCCAGCAAUGCCGCGUGCGUGAAGAAGGCCUUAGGGUUGUAAAGCGCUUUCACCUGUGAUGAUGAUGACAGUAGCAGGAGAAGAAGCCCCGGCUAACUCCGUGCCAGCAGCCGCGGUAAUGUCUAG
This 487-nucleotide ribosomal RNA is filed under the name uncultured bacterium. RNAcentral's name for it is "bacterial SSU rRNA". It matches the Rfam family "Bacterial small subunit ribosomal RNA", at positions 29 to 530 of the family's 1533-position model. The record is from RNAcentral.